Molecule: ribosomal RNA, 301 nt
Filed under: uncultured bacterium
Lineage: Bacteria
Description: partial 16S ribosomal RNA
Rfam family: Bacterial small subunit ribosomal RNA
Source: RNAcentral
CAGCAGCCGCGGGAAUACAGAGGAUGCAAGCGUUGUCCGGAAUUAUUGGGCGUAAAGGGCUCGCAGGCGGUUUCUUAAGUCUGAUGUGAAAGCCCCCGGCUCAACCGGGGAGGGUCAUUGGAAACUGGGAAACUUGAGUGCAGAAGAGGAGAGUGGAAUUCCACGUGUAGCGGUGAAAUGCGUAGAGAUGUGGAGGAACACCAGUGGCGAAGGCGACUCUCUGGUCUGCAACUGACGCUGAGGAGCGAAAGCGUGGGGAGCGAGCAGGAUUAGAUACCCCUGUAGUCCCUGUCUCUUAUAC